This is a long non-coding RNA of Orcinus orca (killer whale), 885 nucleotides long. RefSeq lists it as uncharacterized. The transcript is spliced from 2 exons. NCBI's taxonomy places the organism in Eukaryota, Metazoa, Chordata, Mammalia, Artiodactyla, Delphinidae. The record is from RefSeq and is a predicted model, not a curated record.
AGUUCCUGAUAAUGAAACAACAAGUGAGAAAAAAGCUUACUUUGAUUCCUGUAUUUAUCCAUCUUUUGCCAAAUGGUCAGGUUUCUACUUUGGGUCCGGGUCUUCUAAGUGCACCCAGGAAAUAUUAACGCCAGUUAUGUUCACCACCCUGUUAGGGAUAUGGCAGGUCAGGGACCAAUGUAGAAACACUCUCUUUCCGAACAUUUACUUUCACUUGCUCCAGCCUCCAUUAAGGCUGUGACCGCACAGAAGACAGGAGAGGUUUUUUCCUUCUCUUUUUUGAAAGGUCAUUCCUUGGGCUCAGUGGCCUCCUUCAUCAUGUUACUGGCUGCAGUGGACUUAGGAAUGCGGUGAACACAGGGGAUAGAGAAUGACUCAGAACAGAAAUCUCUAGGCCAGUGGGGAGCAGACGUUUCAUCAGAGUAUCUGAUUGAUUGAAGAUGAUGAAGAAGGGUUUUGGGAUGCAGAAUUUUCUAAAACCACCUGGAAGCCUGGGAACCUCUCCCUCCAGCCACAAGGCCCUGCCCCACACCCUGCAGCAGCCAAUGUGGAAAAUCAGACUCCAACCACCGCAACAAUGCCCCCCAAGGGUCAGGACUUGGUCAGUGACUCACAGCUUCGUCAUUUUCAUUCCUUUCCAUGUAGAACCAAAUGCGGGGAAAGCCAAAUAUGUUCCCUUAAGUAAUCACUUAGGACGACCCUCUUCCCAACAGCUUGUCUCCAGCCUCCUCACAUCACAAGCUCUGGGGAGCACAUGCAUUCCUUUUUUUUGUCACCAGAAAGUGUCCCCACUCUUAUGUGCCCUGAGUCUCAGCCUGAUGUGAGUGGUGGUGGCUGACUCCUGUGCUCUAUAGACAAGUUCUGAGUAAAUAGUGCUUGUUCUCA